This 253-nucleotide ribosomal RNA is filed under the name uncultured bacterium. Its description in RNAcentral is "partial 16S ribosomal RNA". It matches the Rfam family "Bacterial small subunit ribosomal RNA", at positions 524 to 776 of the family's 1533-position model. The record is from RNAcentral.
UACGUAGGGGGCAAGCGUUAUCCGGAUUUACUGGGCGUAAAGGGAGCGUAGACGGCAUGGCAAGCCAGAUGUGAAAUACCGGGGCUCAACCCCGGGACUGCAUUUGGAACUGUUAAGCUGGAGUGUCGGAGAGGCAGGCGGAAUUCCUAGUGUAGCGGUGAAAUGCGUAGAUAUUAGGAGGAACACCAGUGGCGAAGGCGGCCUGCUGGACGAUAACUGACGUUGAGGCUCGAAAGCGUGGGGAGCAAACAGG